Balaenoptera ricei (Rice's whale) is the source of this 399-nucleotide long non-coding RNA. RefSeq lists it as uncharacterized. Lineage: Eukaryota; Metazoa; Chordata; Mammalia; Artiodactyla; Balaenopteridae. The record is from RefSeq and is a predicted model, not a curated record. The transcript is spliced from 3 exons.
AGAACAGUGAUUUGGCAGCUCUCUGUGCUGUGGAGACAAGGAGGAGAGUUCAGGAUGUGCCUGGGAGAAGAGCACUGAUGAACAUACCAAGGAAGUGAAGAACCCUGGGGGGUAAAGCCUUAAGAACAGUAAUUUUCUGGACUGACAAAAGGUCCCCAAGACAUGGCAGCCAGAUUCAGAGCAAGUGAUUCACGAAGAAGAAAGACAGAAGCUUCUAUGUCUUUUAUGACCUAGCCUUGAAAUCACACUCUCAUUUCCCACAACAACGUAUUGGUUAUUCAGAGCAGCCCUACUCUGCAUGGGAGAGGACUACAGGGAAGUGUCAAUAGGAGAAGAUCAAUGAUACCCAAGCAAGGCUAUUUUUGGUUGUCACAGUGGUCACAGCUGGCAUCAAGUGGG